This 28-nucleotide non-coding RNA is filed under the name Mus musculus (house mouse). Lineage: Eukaryota; Metazoa; Chordata; Mammalia; Rodentia; Muridae. The record is from RNAcentral.
UUGUUGGGAAUUGGGCUGCCGACUGUAA